GUGAGGCCCUGAGCAACUCAGCGAGACCCUGUCUCUAAAUAAAAUACAAAAUAGGGCUGGGGAUGGGGCUCAGGGGUUAAGCGCCCUGAGUUCAAUCCCCAGUAGGGCAUCAAAGUAAACUCUCGAGAGACUAAAAAGGCAACUGUUUGAUUAAAAUUCAUAGGACGUUGUUAAUUUGGAUCGAGCCCUUAUAGAGAGCCCCAUGGACCAGCCCCAAAUGGAGUCACUCAUGCUAAGUGUCUGUCACUAAACGAAAACCCAAACUGUGCACUUAUGAACCCCAACAGUCCAAGAAGUCCAGAAAGAGUGACCGCCGGACCCCCAAACAGUCCAGUUUUCUGAAAAACUAACUUGACACCCACCUGAUAGGAUGCGACCAACCCCAGCUGACAAAAUAAGGAAAUUCUCUCUGCUGUGACCCUCCAAGGACAGUAACCAGAAGUAACCAAAGUCAACCAAGCUCCUUUUUUUGUAGCACUUGGGAUUCAACCCCGGGGGUGCUCUGUCUCUAAGCUACAUCUCCAGCCCCGUUCUUUACUUUUGAUUUUCAUUUUGAGAAAGGGUCUCACGACGUGGCUGAGGCUGGCCUCCAACUUGCAAUCCUCCUGUCUCAGCCUCCCAGUGGCUGGGAUUACGAGUGUGUGCCAUUGCACCCAAUUCCCCUUUGAUCCAGCGCACAGAAUGGGAGAAAAUGUUGCAAAUCACAUGUCUGAUCAGGAGAUUCAUAUCUGGAAUAUGUAAGGAGCUCCUAAGACUCAACAACAAGAAAAUCUAAUUAAAAUGGGCAAGAAUUGCACAGCAACAUAAGUAGACUCAAUGCCUGUGUGGGACGGAAUGAGAAAACAGUCACUCAGCAGCCACUUUGAACCCCAGAGGUAAGCGGGUCAUUUCUCUGGACACCAAUCAAUUUGGCACAUUCUCUAGCAGGUGUCCUCUAACUCAAUUCUCAAUUCAGUUUCUCUCUCUCUCUCUCUCUCUCUCUCUCUGUGUAUCUCUGUCUAGUACUGGGGAUUGACCCUACUUUACCACUCAGCUAUACCUCUUUUAAGUUUUAUUUUGAGACAGGGUCUCACUAAAUGGCUGAGGCUGGCCUCCAACUUGCGAUCCUCCUGUUUCAGCCUCUGGAGCCACACUCAGCCUAAUUCAAUUCAGUCCUGACUCUGAUCUACCUAGAGAGAACAUUAGACCUCACAUUGUGUCAUCCUUUGGCAAAAAGAAAGACCAUGUUCCUGAAAGGCGCGCUUCCAUUCCCAAGAACCUAGCCAAGUUAAGAGAACAAUGAAAGCAGACCUCUACUACACUGUCCAGAAAUGUAUUAAUAUAGCCGGGAUCAGUGCCACACGCCUGUCAUCCCAGCAGCUUGGGAGGCUGAGGCAGGAAGAUCGCAAGUUGGAGGCCAGCCUCAACAACAGCGAGGCCCUAAGCAACUCAGGGAGACCCUGUCCCUAAAUAAAAUAUGAAAAGGGCUGGGGAUGGGGCUCAGGGGUCGAGGGCCCCUGGUACCCCGCAUCUCUGUCCCAACAGGAACAGCGGUGGUCACUAGUUGCUCAGGAAGGGGCAUUUGGACUUUGAGGGCUAAGUUCCCUUUGCUGAUUUACCCACCUCUGGCCCUUGUGGGGCCACAAGAGCCACUGACUUUUAUACAUAUGUGUGUAUUUUUUUUAAGUUGUUGAUGGAACUUUAUUUUAUUUUAUAAAAUAUAUUUUUAGUUGUUAAUGGACUUUUCUUUCUUUACAUGCGGUGUUGAGAAUCGAACCCGGGGCCUCCCACAUGCUACGCAAGUCCCAACCACUGAGCCUCAGCCACUGACGCUUGAGAAGGAACCGAUCUGUUGUCCUCCUGGGGUUCACUCAGACACUAGGCAAGGAAAUGUCACAGAGCAGACAGGCCUCUCUCUCCUCUUGCCCUGGAACCCGACGGUGGAGGCUCCAUCCAGCCCACAGCCCAGAGAUGGCGUCCAGAUGGCUCACGCCUGUCAUCCCAGCAGCUCCGGAGGCUGAGGCAGGAGGAUCGCAAGGUGGAGGCCAGCCCGGAAGACCCCGGAAGAUCUGAGAUCUCUCUGCACAAGACCAGCCCCAUCAAAGAGGAACCAGGACCCAGACCCGGUGGACAACCCUAACCACCAAGAGGAAGUGGACUGAGAGGGUUUGUCACUUCUUCAAAGAUAUCCUGGUUUUUUUUUCUUUUCUUUUUUUUUUUGAUACCAGGGUUUGAACACAGGGG
RNAcentral lists this long non-coding RNA (2223 nucleotides) under Marmota monax (woodchuck). Lineage: Eukaryota; Metazoa; Chordata; Mammalia; Rodentia; Sciuridae. The record is from RNAcentral.